AAAUAGGGAGUGCUUUAUCAUAGAAAAAUUGAGAAAGAGAGUAGAGAUGUAGAGGCAAGGAUUAGGGUUUGCCACCACACAAGGGCUAGGGUUUUAGAGAGAAAAAAAAAGUUUUCUCUUGGUACAACUCUAGGGUGGGAGAACUAUCUUUGUGGUACACCUUGGGAAACACUUAUCAAAUUGAGUCUCUUGGCCACAGGAAGAGAUUCGGGUUUUGGGUAGAAUUAGGAUUAAUUCUUGUAACUCAAUUGAGAAUUUCUUUGUAAAGUUACUCUUUGAUAUAGUGGAACGGAGGGGCUGCUCUCUCCCCCAGACUAGGUCAUUGUUGGACCGAACUGGGUAAACAAAUUAUUGUGUUCUUUCUUCUCCUUUAUCUUGUUUAUCAGUUAUUAUUAUUAUUAUUGCUUAUUCCGCU
This 415-nucleotide long non-coding RNA is filed under the name Trifolium pratense (red clover). RNAcentral describes it as "long non-coding RNA (TPRA_LNC008701)". Lineage: Eukaryota; Viridiplantae; Streptophyta; Magnoliopsida; Fabales; Fabaceae. The record is from RNAcentral.